This 299-nucleotide ribosomal RNA is filed under the name uncultured bacterium. Its description in RNAcentral is "partial 16S ribosomal RNA". It matches the Rfam family "Bacterial small subunit ribosomal RNA", at positions 475 to 776 of the family's 1533-position model. The record is from RNAcentral.
CUAUGCGCCUUGCCAGCCCGCUCAGGUGUGCCAGCCGCCGCGGUAAUACGUAGGUGGCAAGCGUUGUCCGGAUUUACUGGGUGUAAAGGGCGUGUAGCCGGGCUGACAAGUCAGAUGUGAAAUCCGGGGGCUCAACCCCCGAACUGCAUUUGAAACUGUUGGUCUUGAGUAUCGGAGAGGCAGGCGGAAUUCCUAGUGUAGCGGUGAAAUGCGUAGAUAUUAGGAGGAACACCAGUGGCGAAGGCGAUUCUCUGGACUGUAACUGACGCUGAGGCUCGAAAGCGUGGGGAGCAAACAGG